This 602-nucleotide ribosomal RNA is filed under the name uncultured bacterium. Its description in RNAcentral is "bacterial SSU rRNA". It matches the Rfam family "Bacterial small subunit ribosomal RNA", at positions 62 to 653 of the family's 1533-position model. The record is from RNAcentral.
UCGAGGGGCAGCAUGGUCUUAGCUUGCUAAGGCCGAUGGCGACCGGCGCACGGGUGAGUAACACGUAUCCAACCUGCCGUCUACUCUUGGACAGCCUUCUGAAAGGAAGAUUAAUACAAGAUGGCAUCAUGAGUCCGCAUGUUCACAUGAUUAAAGGUAUUCCGGUAGACGAUGGGGAUGCGUUCCAUUAGAUAGUAGGCGGGGUAACGGCCCACCUAGUCUUCGAUGGAUAGGGGUUCUGAGAGGAAGGUCCCCCACAUUGGAACUGAGACACGGUCCAAACUCCUACGGGAGGCAGCAGUGAGGAAUAUUGGUCAAUGGGCGAGAGCCUGAACCAGCCAAGUAGCGUGAAGGAUGACUGCCCUAUGGGUUGUAAACUUCUUUUAUAAAGGAAUAAAGUUGGGUAUGGAUACCCGUUUGCAUGUACUUUAUGAAUAAGGAUCGGCUAACUCCGUGCCAGCAGCCGCGGUAAUACGGAGGAUCCGAGCGUUAUCCGGAUUUAUUGGGUUUAAAGGGAGCGUAGAUGGAUGUUUAAGUCAGUUGUGAAAGUUUGCGGCUCAACCGUAAAAUUGCAGUUGAUACUGGAUAUCUUGAGUGCAGUU